AAAAAUCAUUUUCUAUUAACAAGAACAAAAAAAUUCUUUCAGGUAAAUUUUUUCUGUCAGAAUUUCUUAUCGAACAAAAAAAAACAUGAAAAAAGAAAUUACUUUGAUAGAGGGAGAUCAUCUUCGUCCUUUGGAACAGAUGCAACAUAACAUAUAUUUGGAUGGUACAUAAUCAAAAGGGUUCACCGGAGAGAUCUUUUGUCACGGACAGAAUAUGAAAUCAAGAAAGGAUCGCAGCAGAGCAAGAAGGAGGAGAUGCCUUGGGGUUUGCUUGUCAUCUAUAUUGACGUGGUUUACGUUUUCAUCAUCGAUGUUGUUUGUGUUGUUGUCUCCAUUUUCGUUGUCGUCUAUAUUGAUGUCUCCAUCGUUAUCGCCAUUACACACUCCAAACUCAAAUAUUUUUUUGUGAGAGAAAUAAUUUGUUGCAUCUCUUUACUAAACAAAAGGAAAAACCUUUGUUAGAGAAGAAAAAUUGAAAGCCACGAAGAUGAUAGAUUUGGUU
RNAcentral lists this long non-coding RNA (502 nucleotides) under Brassica napus (rape). Its description in RNAcentral is "long non-coding RNA (BNAP_LNC020432)". The record is from RNAcentral. Lineage: Eukaryota; Viridiplantae; Streptophyta; Magnoliopsida; Brassicales; Brassicaceae.